CAGCAGCCGCGGUAAUACGUAGGUGGCAAGCGUUGUCCGGAAUUAUUGGGCGUAAAGCGAGCGCAGACGGUUACUUAAGCAGGAUGUGAAAUCCCCGGGCUCAAUCUGGGAACUGCGUUCUGAACUGGGUGACUAGAGUGUGUCAGAGGGAGGUAGAAUUCCACGUGUAGCAGUGAAAUGCGUAGAGAUGUGGAGGAAUACCGAUGGCGAAGGCAGCCCCCUGGGCCAAUACUGACGCUCAUGCACGAAAGCGUGGGGAGCAAACAGGAUUAGAUACCCGGGUAGUCCCUGUCUCUUAUAU
Molecule: ribosomal RNA, 301 nt
Filed under: uncultured bacterium
Lineage: Bacteria
Description: partial 16S ribosomal RNA
Rfam family: Bacterial small subunit ribosomal RNA
Source: RNAcentral